RNAcentral lists this ribosomal RNA (842 nucleotides) under uncultured bacterium. Its description in RNAcentral is "bacterial SSU rRNA". It matches the Rfam family "Bacterial small subunit ribosomal RNA", at positions 49 to 867 of the family's 1533-position model. The record is from RNAcentral.
CUACCAUGCAGUCGAACGAGAAAGUUCCGUUCGCGGAAUGAGUAAAGUGGCGCACGGGUGAGUAACACGUGGAUAAUCUGCCCUUAAGCGAGGAAUAACAUUUCGAAAGGAAUGCUAAUACCUCAUAAUGUUAUUUUCUCUUCGGAGGGAAUAGCCAAAGGUGACCUCUGUCUCAAGUUGCCGCUUAGAGAUGAGUCCGCGGCCCUUUAGCUAGUUGGUGGGGUAAAAGCCUACCAAGGCGACGAUGGGUAGCUGGUCUGAGAGGAUGAUCAGCCACACUGGAACUGAGAUACGGUCCAGACUCCUACGGGAGGCAGCAGUGAGGAAUCUUGCGCAAUGGGGGAAACCCUGACGCAGCAACGCCGUGUGAGUGAUUAAGGUCUUCGGGUCGUAAAGCUCUGUUUGAAGGGACGAAACGUAUUUGAUUAAUACUCAAAUAACUUGACGGUACCUUCAGAGGAAGCACCGGCUAACUCCGUGCCAGCAGCCGCGGUAAUACGGAGGGUGCAAGCGUUGUUCGGAAUCACUGGGCGUAAAGGGCGUGUAGGUGGCUAAUUAAGUCAGGUGUGAAAUCCUUCCGCUUAACGGGAGAAGUGCACUUGAAACUGCUUAGCUAGAGUACGGGAGAGGAAGGUGGAAUUCCUGGUGUAGAGGUGAAAUUCAUAGAUAUCGGGAAGAACACCGGUGGCGAAGGCGGCCUUCUGGCCCGAUACUGACGCUGAGGCGCGAAAGCGUGGGGAGCAAACAGGAUUAGAUACCCUGGUAGUCCACGCCGUAAACGUUGGGCACUAGGUGUGGGAGGUUUUUAUUUCCUUCUUUGCCGAAGCUAACGCAUUAAGUGC